GGCUGGUUGGCGCAAUGGUAGCGCGUGCCCCUCCUAGUACCUAAAAAGUCUUUAAGGGCAAGGUUGCGGGUUCGAGUCCCGUGCUGGUCG
Non-coding RNA from Aplosporella prunicola CBS 121167, 90 nucleotides. NCBI's taxonomy places the organism in Eukaryota, Fungi, Ascomycota, Dothideomycetes, Botryosphaeriales, Aplosporellaceae. The record is from the annotation of a RefSeq genome assembly.